Non-coding RNA from Spea bombifrons (plains spadefoot toad), 85 nucleotides. The record is from the annotation of a RefSeq genome assembly. Lineage: Eukaryota; Metazoa; Chordata; Amphibia; Anura; Pelobatidae.
GCCAGGAUGGCCGAGUGGUUAAGGCGUUGGACUUAAGAUCCAAUGGACAAAUGUCUGCGUUGGGGUUCAAACCCCACUCCUGGUA